Molecule: ribosomal RNA, 1345 nt
Filed under: uncultured bacterium
Lineage: Bacteria
Description: bacterial SSU rRNA
Rfam family: Bacterial small subunit ribosomal RNA
Source: RNAcentral
GAUGAACGCUGGCGGCGUGCUUACACAUGCAAGUCGAACGGAAAGGCCCUGGUUUGGUGUGGUGCUCGAGUGGCGAACGGGUGAGUAACACGUGAGUGAUCUGCCCUGGACUUCGGGAUAACUUCGGGAAACUGGGGCUAAUACCGGAUAGGACCUCUUGCUGCAUGUUGGUGUGUGAAACUUUUGCGCGAUGGGAUGAGCACUCGCGCUUUAUCCUUGUGGGGGGGGGGAAGUGCUAUACCGGCGUCUACAGGGAUCCCCCCUCAGAGAGUGUGACGCCCCAUUGUGACAGAGAUAUAGCGCCCACACUCAUAGGAGACGCCACUGUGGAAAAUUGUGCACUGUGCGCGGACCUGAGAUGCCGACACCCCGCGUGCGAUGAGAGCCUCCUCGUUGUGUACUCCUUUCUCUACUGAGAAAGAAUUUGUGUGACGGUACCGGGAAAAGAAGCACCGGCUAACUACGUGCCAGCAGCCGCGGUGAUACGUAGGGUGCGAGCGUUGUCCGGAUUUACUGGGCGUAAAGAGCUCGCAGGUGGUUGAUCGCGUCGGAAGUGUAAUCUUGGGGCUUAACUGUGAGCGUGCUUUCGAUACGGGUUGACUUGAGGAAGGUAGGGGAGAAUGGAAUUCCUGGUGGAGCGGUGGAAUGCGCAGAUAUCAGGAGGAACACCAGUGGCGAAGGCGGUUCUCUGGGCCUUUCCUGACGCUGAGGAGCGAAAGCGUGGGGAGCGAACAGGCUUAGAUACCCUGGUAGUCCACGCUGUAAACGGUGGGUACUAGGUGUGGGGUCCAUUCCACGGGUUCCGUGCCGUAGCUAACGCUUUAAGUACCCCGCCUGGGGAGUACGGCCGCAAGGCUAAAACUCAAAGGAAUUGACGGGGCCCCGCACAAGCGGCGGAGCAUGCGGAUUAAUUCGAUGCAACGCGUAGAACCUUACCUGGGUUUGACAUGGAUCGGGAGUGCUCAGAGAUGGGUGUGCCUCUUUUGGGGUCGGUUCACAGGUGGUGCAUGGCUGUCGUCAGCUCGUGUCGUGAGAUGUUGGGUUAAGUCCCGCAACGAGCGCAACCCUUGUUCACUGUUGCCAGCACGUUAUGGUGGGGACUCAGUGGAGACCGCCGGGGUCAACUCGGAGGAAGGUGGGGAUGACGUCAAGUCAUCAUGCCCCUUAUGUCCAGGGCUUCACGCAUGCUACAAUGGCUGGUACAGAGAGUGGCGAGCCUGUGAGGGUGAGCGAAUCUCGGAAAGCCGGUCUCAGUUCGGAUUGGGGUCUGCAACUCGACCUCAUGAAGUCGGAGUCGCUAGUAAUCGCAGAUCAGCAACGCUGCGGUGAAUACGUUCCCGGGCCU